Molecule: unclassified non-coding RNA, 257 nt
Filed under: plant metagenome
Description: partial contains small subunit ribosomal RNA, internal transcribed spacer 1, and 5.8S ribosomal RNA
Source: RNAcentral
UUUCCGUAGGUGAACCUGCGGAAGGAUCAUUAACGAGUUAGGGUCUUCUAGGCCCGACCUCCCAACCCUUUGUUUACUGAACCAUUGUUGCCUCGGUGGGUCCGUCUUACGACCGCCGGGGGAUCGCCCCGAGGCGCCCCCUGGCCAGCGCCCACCGAUAGCCCAACCUUUAAAACCCUUUGUGAAUCGUGUCUUAUGUCUAAAUUUAUGAUUAAACAAUCAAAACAAAACUUUCAACAACGGAUCUCUUGGUUCUG